UGGGGAAUAUUGGACAAUGGGCGAAAGCCUGAUCCAGCCAUGCCGCGUGUGUGAAGAAGGUCUUCGGAUUGUAAAGCACUUUAAGUUGGGAGGAAGGGUUGUAGAUUAAUACUCUGCAAUUUUGACGUUACCGACAGAAUAAGCACCGGCUAACUCUGUGCCAGCAGCCGCGGUAAUACAGAGGGUGCAAGCAUUAAUCGGAAUUACUGGGCGUAAAGCGCGCGUAGGUGGUUAGUUAAGUUGGAUGUGAAAAUCCCCGGGCUCAACCUGGGAACUGCAUUCAAAACUGACUGACUAGAGUAUGGUAGAGGGUGGUGGAAUUUCCUGUGUAGCGGUGAAAUGCGUAGAUAUAGGAAGGAACACCAGUGGCGAAAGGCGACCACCUGGACUGAUACUGACACUGAGGUGCGAAAGCGUGGGGAGCAAAACAGGAUUAGAUACCCUGGUAGUCCACGCCGUAAACGAUGUCAACUAGCCGUUGGGGAGCCUUGAGCUCUUAGUGGCGCAGCUAAACGCAUUAAGUUGACCGCCUGGGGAGUACGGCCGCAAGGUUAAAAA
RNAcentral lists this ribosomal RNA (558 nucleotides) under uncultured bacterium. RNAcentral's name for it is "partial 16S ribosomal RNA". It matches the Rfam family "Bacterial small subunit ribosomal RNA", at positions 355 to 900 of the family's 1533-position model. The record is from RNAcentral.